Passer domesticus (house sparrow) is the source of this 724-nucleotide long non-coding RNA. RefSeq lists it as uncharacterized. The transcript has 2 exons. Lineage: Eukaryota; Metazoa; Chordata; Aves; Passeriformes; Passeridae. The record is from RefSeq and is a predicted model, not a curated record.
UCCAUUUCCAUGGCUGGAGCACUGGAUGUUUUACUGUGGAUGUGACAGUCUGGUCAGACAGAGAAAGCUGGGUAAGCAUUCCCAUGAACCUGUCUGGGAGGUUUUAGGGAGCUGGGGAGAAACAAUGAGAGUCAAAUAUUAAACAAUCUGCAGGUGGUGUUUUCAACAAGCUGUUUUCCUCAUAAAGUUGUUUACAGAUGGGUGUCUGCUUAAUUAGCCAACCAUGUGAAUUGUGUUGAUGAAAUGACCAGUCAGGUCCACUGGAAACCAAGGAAUAAAAAGGAGAGGAGUGAAUGAAUGAGCUGCCUUUUGCCCUUUGCCUUCUGAUCUCACUCUGUGACAUUUCUGACUCAAUGCUGACGUUUUACCUGUAAAUUCAGAGUCUGCUCAAGAGAUUUCAGAGCAAAUAAGAGAUUUUCUUAACCUUGUGGCAGACGUGCUUUUGUUUAUGUGGGUGGUGUCAAUACCAACCACCAGCAAGCAGGCUGGACUGCAGAAACAUUUAAGUGGUUAAAAGUCAAAGGCUGGACUUGCUGUGCAAUUGCCAUGCAUUGAGCUCAUCAUUGUGAGUGCUUGGUCUUGGGAUUUGUAUGUUGAGACAGCUCUUGAAGGAAGAGUUUUUAAUUUUUAAGACUUUUUUAAAUUUAAAAGCAUUCAUUUUGAUACCUGUCAAACAGCAUUUCUUAUCCCUCAGUAAAUAAUUUCUUUCAAGGAUUUUUCCAUA